Molecule: ribosomal RNA, 789 nt
Filed under: uncultured marine bacterium
Lineage: Bacteria
Description: bacterial SSU rRNA
Rfam family: Bacterial small subunit ribosomal RNA
Source: RNAcentral
GAGUUUGAUCCUGGCUCAGAUUGAACGCUGGCGGCAUGCCUUACACAUGCAAGUCGAACGGUAACAGGUCUUCGGACGCUGACGAGUGGCGAACGGGUGAGUAAUACAUCGGAACGUGCCCAGUCGUGGGGGAUAACUACUCGAAAGAGUAGCUAAUACCGCAUACGAUCUGAGGAUGAAAGCGGGGGACCUUCGGGCCUCGCGCGAUUGGAGCGGCCGAUGGCAGAUUAGGUAGUUGGUGGGAUAAAAGCUUACCAAGCCGACGAUCUGUAGCUGGUCUGAGAGGACGACCAGCCACACUGGGACUGAGACACGGUCCAGACUCCUACGGGAGGCAGCAGUGGGGAAUUUUGGACAAUGGGCGAAAGCCUGAUCCAGCAAUGCCGCGUGCAGGAUGAAGGCCUUCGGGUUGUAAACUGCUUUUGUACGGAACGAAAAAGCUUCUCCUAAUACGAGAGGCCCAUGACGGUACCGUAAGAAUAAGCACCGGCUAACUACGUGCCAGCAGCCGCGGUAAUACGUAGGGUGCGAGCGUUAAUCGGAAUUACUGGGCGUAAAGCGUGCGCAGGCGGUUAUGUAAGACAGAUGUGAAAUCCCCGGGCUCAACCUGGGAACUGCAUUUGUGACUGCAUGGCUAGAGUACGGUAGAGGGGGAUGGAAUUCCGCGUGUAGCAGUGAAAUGCGUAGAUAUGCGGAGGAACACCGAUGGCGAAGGCAAUCCCCUGGACCUGUACUGACGCUCAUGCACGAAAGCGUGGGGAGCAAACAGGAUUAGAUACCCUGGUAGUC